GGCCUAGCCUCGAACCCCUACCAUCGAAGGCAGUGGGGCUACUCUUGUCGGAGAGGUCCUCGAAAUGGUUCCAUCUCUUGAGAGCACCAUCGGAUGCAAAGUUUCGUACAGCAGUGGUGCUCGUCUGGAUCUUAUCAGUGAUUGAGAAUGCUCUUUCCAUGGACAAAUUAAAUUCAAAUAUUAUAAAUUUAAAUAAAUUUAAUAAAUUUAAAUUUAAAUAUUAAAAAUUUAAAGAGGAAGAAACAAUGUGUGGCGA
Molecule: long non-coding RNA, 256 nt
Filed under: Elaeis guineensis (African oil palm)
Lineage: Eukaryota; Viridiplantae; Streptophyta; Magnoliopsida; Arecales; Arecaceae
Description: long non-coding RNA (EGUI_LNC024813)
Source: RNAcentral